Molecule: long non-coding RNA, 603 nt
Filed under: Trifolium pratense (red clover)
Lineage: Eukaryota; Viridiplantae; Streptophyta; Magnoliopsida; Fabales; Fabaceae
Description: long non-coding RNA (TPRA_LNC001430)
Source: RNAcentral
ACCGUUUGUGCUUUCUUAAUACCAAAGGAGUGCUAAGUUUCAAAGCCUAUAAAAGGCAUGAAUCUGCCUUUCCAACAAUUCAUUCACUCUUACAACAACACACAAAACUUCAUGAGAGAGGGUGAAGGCAGAGGAGAUUGAGAGCUACCAAGAAGAGCAGAGGAAUCAUCUUUCCAUCUCUUCUAGCUAUGUAUUGUAAGGUUAUUAUGUAUAACUAAUUCUCUCUUUUGUUGGGACUAGGUGUAAAUUACUCUAUUAGUAUGUGUUUCUAUUGAUCAUGGUUUUAUAUAUGGUUUUAGUUGUCUCUCAAUAUUGAUGUUAUCUUUGAUUUCAUUGUUUUAAUCUUUGAUUUGAAUUGUUAUAGACAUAUGCCUUUUGAAUCUAAGAACUAGGAUAAUAUCUAUUGAACUCUAAAUUCUAGACAUAGAUUUAGGUUUAAUAUUCACUUAGAGUAUUGAAUCUUAAUACUAUUGUAUUGAUUGACGAUCCGAGACAUCGGAGGUUAAUAGAUGCAAUAGAUAUCUCGGCGUUAUCUGGACACGGAAACGUUCGACGAGCGAUACGUGAUAAUAUUGAUAGAUGACUAAAACCUGUGUAANNNNN